UACUCUCAAAUAUUCCUAAUAAGAUUAGGAGGUAAAUUAAUUAAAAGAUUUUAAUUAAUUAUUCCUAAUAAGAUUAGGAGCCUAAUUAAUUAAAGGAGUUUAAUUAAUUAAAAUAAAACCCAAUUCCUUAAUUGUUAAGGAGGGUUUCUUACAUCUAUAAAUAAGAUGAGUCUUAUUAUAGGUGAGGUGGUUGUUGACGUUUUCACAAAACACGUGAAUACAAUUGUUGGAGAGUACGCUCCUUUUCUAUGAGAUAGAAAACUAAGAUUUUGCCAAACACCCAUCUUCUUGAAUCUUUAUUCUUUCUUGGUGGAUCACCUCUAGAGGCCAAACACUUGGGUAGCUAACGUUGAUCAAAGGAAGGAACCAAACCCGGUGGAUUCAAGUUGAACGCGAAAGGAUUUGGAGGUGAACUUGGACCUGAAGAAACUCGAUCUUCAAGGGUAUUAUUUUAUUCUUUAUCUUUUCAUUUAAUUAAUAAUUGUGCAUAAAGGAUGAUCCGGGUAUAUGGUUUGUAAAAUUUUAAACUCUGAUUUUUACAUGUUUCCGCUUAUUUUAUGCAAUUUGAUUGAGUCUAUGAAUAUUAAAAACCUAACAAUCCACACCAUAAUAUUCAAAAAUAUAUUUCGAGAAAAUUAUUCUUUAUUCAUAAAAGUUGGGGUCUUACAAGAAUUCUCUGAUUCAGGUGUGAUUUUCAAUUCUAAACUAAGCAUCUUAUUUAUAUGAGAAUGGAAUGAUACUAUUUAGAAAAUAAAAUCACGGACUGCACAGUACAUUCACGGGCCUCGAAUCCUUCGAUUGAAUUUUUGAAAAAAAAU
Molecule: long non-coding RNA, 818 nt
Filed under: Panax ginseng (ginseng)
Lineage: Eukaryota; Viridiplantae; Streptophyta; Magnoliopsida; Apiales; Araliaceae
Description: long non-coding RNA (PGIN_LNC004845)
Source: RNAcentral